GACGAACGCUGGCGGCGUGCCUAAUACAUGCCAGUAGAACGCACAGUUUAUACCGUAGCUUGCUACACCAUAGACUGUGAGUUGCGAACGGGUGAGUAACGCGUAGGUAACCUGCCUGGUAGCGGGGGAUAACUAUUGGAAACGAUAGCUAAUACCGCAUAAUAUUGAUUAUUGCAUGAUAAUUGAUUGAAAGAUGCUAUUGCAUCACUACCAGAUGGACCUGCGUUGUAUUAGCUAGUAGGUGAGGUAACGGCUCACCUAGGCGACGAUACAUAGCCGACCUGAGAGGGUGAUCGGCCACACUGGGACUGAGACACGGCCCAGACUCCUACGGGAGGCAGCAGUAGGGAAUCUUCGGCAAUGGACGAAAGUCUGACCGAGCAACGCCGCGGGAGUGAAGAAGGUUUUCGGAUCGGAAAGCUCGGUUGUAAGAGAAGAACGGGUGUGAGAGUGGAAAGUCCACACUGUGACGGUAUCUUACCAGAAAGGGACGGCUAACUACGUG
RNAcentral lists this ribosomal RNA (505 nucleotides) under uncultured bacterium. Its description in RNAcentral is "partial 16S ribosomal RNA". It matches the Rfam family "Bacterial small subunit ribosomal RNA", at positions 28 to 507 of the family's 1533-position model. The record is from RNAcentral.